Molecule: long non-coding RNA, 309 nt
Filed under: Malus domestica (apple)
Lineage: Eukaryota; Viridiplantae; Streptophyta; Magnoliopsida; Rosales; Rosaceae
Description: long non-coding RNA (MDOM_LNC003925)
Source: RNAcentral
AGCUCACUAUGAGCUUGGAUUGUCCUAAAAAUCAACCAACAAAAAAAAGUAACUCGGACCUCGAGUUUUCAACGCGAAAACGAAGGAUUCCUUACCUGAAAAUGGUGUCUACGUGAUCGUGGAGGUUCCAGGAGUUCGAUGGUGGUCUUAACUCCGUCGUUGGUAUAGAUUUAGGGUGGUUUUGUGGUGGUCCGUGUGAGUUCGAAGGAGAGGGAGAGAGAACUGAGAGUUUCGUGAGGGAGGAGAGAGAGAGACAAUGUUACGGGUUAUGGGGAGGGUUUUGAGGUGUGGGGAUCCCACGUGUCCAAC